GAUGAACGCUGACAGAAUGCUUAACACAUGCAAGUCAACUUGAACUUCGGUUUGGGUGGCGGCCGGGUGAGUAACGCGUAAAGAACUUGCCUCACAGUUAGGGACAACAUUUGGAAACGAAUGCUAAUACCUGAUAUUAUGAUUUUAGGGCAUCCUAGAAUUAUGAAAGCUAUAUGCGCUGUGAGAGAGCUUUGCGUCCCAUUAGCUAGUUGGAGAGGUAACGGCUCACCAAGGCGAGGAUGGGUAGCCGGCCUGAGAGGGUGAACGGCCACAAGGGGACUGAGACACGGCCCUUACUCCUACGGGAGGCAGCAGUGGGGAAUAUAGGAAAAUGGACCAAGAGUCUGAUCCAGCAAUUCUGUGUGCACGAUGAAGUUUUUCGGAAUGUAAAGUGCUUUCAGUUGAGAAGAAAAAAAUGACGGUACCAACAGAAGAAGUGACGGCUAAAUACGUG
This 454-nucleotide ribosomal RNA is filed under the name uncultured bacterium. RNAcentral describes it as "partial 16S ribosomal RNA". It matches the Rfam family "Bacterial small subunit ribosomal RNA", at positions 28 to 507 of the family's 1533-position model. The record is from RNAcentral.